CCAAUAGCGUAUAUUAAAGUUGUUGCAGUUAAAAAGCUCGUAGUUGAAUUUCGGGGUCAGUAGGUCGGUCGUGCCACUGGUAUGAACUGGUUUUACUGAUUCCUCCCUCUUGAAGAACUGUAAUGCCAUUAAUUUGGUGUUGCAGGGAAUCAGGACUGUUACUUUGAAAAAAUUAGAGUGUUUAAAGCAGGCUUUAGCUUGAAUACAUUAGCAUGGAAUAAUGAAAUAGGACGUUUGAUCCUAUUUUGUUGGUUUCUAGGAUUGACGUAAUGAUUAAUAGGGAUAGUUGGGUGCAUUAGUAUUCAAUUGUCAGAGGUGAAAUUCUUGGAUUUAUUGAAGACUAACUACUGCGAAAGCAUUUGCCAAGGAUGUUUUCAUUAAUCAAGAACGAAAGUUAGGGGAUCGAAGACGAUCAGAUACCGUCGUAGUCUUAACCAUAAACUAUGCCGACUAGGGAUCGGAUGAUGUUAAUUUUUUAAUGACUCAUUCGGCGCCUUACG
Molecule: unclassified non-coding RNA, 500 nt
Filed under: uncultured Glomus
Lineage: Eukaryota; Fungi; Glomeromycota; Glomeromycetes; Glomerales; Glomeraceae
Description: SSU rRNA
Rfam family: Eukaryotic small subunit ribosomal RNA
Source: RNAcentral